Molecule: transfer-messenger RNA, 376 nt
Filed under: Zhihengliuella halotolerans
Lineage: Bacteria; Bacillati; Actinomycetota; Actinomycetes; Micrococcales; Micrococcaceae
Description: Standard tmRNA
Rfam family: transfer-messenger RNA
About the family: Bacterial tmRNA, also known as 10Sa RNA or SsrA, is named for its dual tRNA and mRNA-like properties.
Source: Rfam by way of RNAcentral
GGGGAUGAUCGGUUUCGACGAUGUGAGUCGCGUCAGGAGAAGCGGGCCGAGGAUGCAGAGUUAUCUCGAAAACGCCCUCUGCAAACCAAUAAGUGCCGAUUCUAAGCGCACUGACUUCGCUCUCGCUGCCUAAGCAGCCAGACAGUCCGUCAGCCAGGGUAUGCUAUCGCCCCUGAGCCUGGCGUCGAUUAGAUAGCCACUGCUGAGCACAUUCGUCGCUGAUGUGCUCGGGACUUUUAGGCGACUGUGCCCAGGGAUGCAAGCCGCUCGUCUGCGAGACGGCUUAUGGGGCAGAGAAAUCCCACAGCAGACUGCGCCCGGAGAAGACCAGGCAACACCUCAUCGGACGCGGGUUCAAUUCCCGCCAUCUCCACGA